GCCUGUGUGGUUUAGUGGUUUGAGUGCUGGACUAUAUGACUCUGGAGGCCAGGAUUCAAAUCCCUGCUCAGCCA
This 74-nucleotide transfer RNA is filed under the name Phrynosoma platyrhinos (Desert horned lizard). RNAcentral describes it as "tRNA-OTHER". It matches the Rfam family "tRNA". Rfam says of the family: Transfer RNA (tRNA) molecules are approximately 80 nucleotides in length. Their secondary structure includes four short double-helical elements and three loops (D, anti-codon, and T loops). Further hydrogen bonds mediate the characteristic L-shaped molecular structure. tRNAs have two regions of fundamental functional importance: the anti-codon, which is responsible for specific mRNA codon recognition, and the 3' end, to which the tRNAs corresponding amino acid is attached (by aminoacyl-tRNA synthetases). tRNAs cope with the degeneracy of the genetic code in two manners: having more than one tRNA (with a specific anti-codon) for a particular amino acid; and 'wobble' base-pairing, i.e. permitting non-standard base-pairing at the 3rd anti-codon position. The record is from RNAcentral. Lineage: Eukaryota; Metazoa; Chordata; Lepidosauria; Squamata; Phrynosomatidae.